AUUGAACGCUGGCGGCAGGCCUAACACAUGCAAGUCGAACGGUAACAGGAAGCAGCUUGCUGCUUUGCUGACGAGUGGCGGACGGGUGAGUAAUGUCUGGGAAACUGCCCGAUGGAGGGGGAUAACUACUGGAAACGGUAGCUAAUACCGCAUAACGUCGCAAGACCAAAGAGGGGGACCUUAGGGCCUCUUGCCAUCGGAUGUGCCCAGAUGGGAUUAGCUAGUAGGUGGGGUAACGGCUCACCUAGGCGACGAUCCCUAGCUGGUCUGAGAGGAUGACCAGCCACACUGGAACUGAGACACGGUCCAGACUCCUACGGGAGGCAGCAGUGGGGAAUAUUGCACAAUGGGCGCAAGCCUGAU
RNAcentral lists this ribosomal RNA (363 nucleotides) under uncultured Escherichia sp. Its description in RNAcentral is "bacterial SSU rRNA". It matches the Rfam family "Bacterial small subunit ribosomal RNA", at positions 30 to 387 of the family's 1533-position model. The record is from RNAcentral. Lineage: Bacteria; Pseudomonadati; Pseudomonadota; Gammaproteobacteria; Enterobacterales; Enterobacteriaceae.